RNAcentral lists this ribosomal RNA (350 nucleotides) under Berosus luridus. RNAcentral's name for it is "partial 12S ribosomal RNA". The record is from RNAcentral. Lineage: Eukaryota; Metazoa; Arthropoda; Insecta; Coleoptera; Hydrophilidae.
GCAUAUUUUAGAGCUUUAAUCAUAAUAAAAAUAUAAAUAUUAUUACUUUCAAAUCCACCUGCAUUAUAAUUUUAAAUUACAAAUCCGUUUAAAUAUAUUUAAUGUAACCCAUUUCUUCUUGUCUAUAAACUGCACCUUGAUCUGAUUUAAUUAAUAAUUAUAAAUCAUGAAUAUUAAAUUCUAAUAAAAUAUUCAACUACGACGAUAUACAAAUUAAUUAAAACAAGUAUAAUUAAUCGUGGAAUAUCGAUUACAGAACAGGUUCCUCUGAAAAGACUAAAAUACCGCCAAAAUCUUUAAUUUUAAAGAACAUAUCUACUACUAAUUUAAAGUUUAAAUUUACAUUAAAA